Penaeus monodon (black tiger shrimp) is the source of this 208-nucleotide long non-coding RNA. RefSeq lists it as uncharacterized. The record is from RefSeq and is a predicted model, not a curated record. Lineage: Eukaryota; Metazoa; Arthropoda; Malacostraca; Decapoda; Penaeidae. The transcript has 3 exons.
CCUGGUACAUAAACUGACCGUCGGGGAGAUAUAAAUACAGGCGGAGGAGAUUUUGCCUCACACCCUUCAGUGUUCCUCCAAGAAAAGGAAUGCACCAUGGAUAAGCGAAUAUUAAUCCUGGUUCUUUUAGUGUCUUCGCUGUGCAUAAUGGCUGAUGCUCAUGAGAAGAGGAGUCCGCUAGCCAGAAGUGGCCCAAGCCGUCCGCCAG